This is a non-coding RNA of Xyrichtys novacula (pearly razorfish), 5966 nucleotides long. NCBI's taxonomy places the organism in Eukaryota, Metazoa, Chordata, Actinopteri, Labriformes, Labridae. The record is from the annotation of a GenBank genome assembly.
GUGGCCAUAUUCUGAAUCCCCAAGAAGAGGACACUCCCACACGGGGGCAGAGUCACGGGUCACGCAAAGUAAAUUUUGUGAGUUUUUUGGGUCGGGUCAAAUGUUUUUUAUGUGCUUCUAAUUCAGUAAGUCCAUGCGACACAAAUUCAAAACUUUCAUACAAAACCCCAGACAUUUGAAGAAUUUUAUAAACUCUUCCAGACAAAGCCAGACUGCCCCCAAAUAGAGGACAUGUCCGGGUAAAAGGGGAUGUAUGGUCACCCUACUGUUAACACUUUAAUGAGACUAAUCUGUAGCUCAAACCUGCUGAUUGCCAAUGAAGUUGGUGUCGGUAAAAGCAACACCAAAGCACAGCCUGAUCACACAUGCCACAACAUCAGAAUAAUCAAGGUAAAAGAGUCAAGGACACGUUACGGCUGCCUGUCGACACUGUGGCAAAAACUGUACUUUUACAUGACGGUUAGCACUGUGGCUAAAUAUCAAGAUAAUCCUAGUCUGGAAUUAGCCUGAACUAACUCCAAAAUAGAGAAAUGGAGCUCUAGUCCUGCAAUCCAGGCAACAGCAGCAGAGCUGUUGAGAACAUCUCUGAGCUACCAACUGCUACAAAGUAACUUCAGUCGUUAGCAGUAGUCUUAAUACCAACAAUGUAAUACAAAGAAAGUAUCCCCCUCAUAUAAUUUAGGUUUAAAAGGCGGGUGAAUCAAGACGAUAGACUGUAUGUACUAUGGACAACUUGGCUCCGCCCUCCGUCAUUAUACGAAUUUGAAGCAAAAUCGCUCUCGUUAUUUCCGGGACUUUUUUUCCCACUUCCUGUAACCACUGUUUGCACAGUAGCGUUGUAUGCAUUAGGCAGGAGAGUCACUGUGAUGAUGCUCAGCUACACAAUCUCCACAUGCCCAUAGGUUGUAUAAGGGGUAAAUAACUUUUAAAACGGAGCUGCACAGAAGAAAGAGGACUUGAGCACAAACCAGUCUGACAGUAACUACAUGUCAACAUCGCAACCAGGGGGGAGAAAAAUUGAUAUUCUGUGUAAUUAAUUUCUAAAGUUUGUCCACAAAUCCAUAGGGAUUGCUAGAGGAGGUGGGAUUUAUGACCUAUACUGCAGCCCGUCACCAGAGGGUGCUGUUCUCACGGUUGCUUCACCCAGCGAGGAGUCAGACAGCGUCCAUUCUAUACACAGUCUAUGAUUGAGACCUUUCUUGCUCGCCCGGUCAGGAUUGUAGGCCGAUCUGAACACUGGAUGUGCUCACGUGUCGUAAAUCAUGCGUCUUUUUCAACAUCUAAAACUGUUCUUGCGUGUGUUUUAUCAAAACUGUACAAAAAAGGCAGUUAUUUUAAAAAUACACGCUUCUAUCGUGAAACACGUCUCUGUACCCUGAGGUAACAAAAACACAUUUUCCUCUACAUUUCUUUAAGCGAAACAAGAAGAAGCUCCAUGUACCAGAGGUCAGAGCAGGGGGUCUCUGCUGUCACCCCUCUCUGUCUUCUGAUUUUGGAAACCCGUCAACGCAGCACUUGAUCUUUGUUCGGUGUAGGAGUAGACUGACUAGCAAAGAAAUUCACAGCCAGUGUCGAGCACCAAAGGACAAGAGAUCAGCCUAAAUCAAUAUUUAAAAACUCAGACUGCACUUACAUAGAUAGUACGAUAUAGAGUGCUUUCAAGUAUAUAUAGCACCUUAUCUUACAUUCUUCCCCGAGCGAGGUUUCAUGAUGACUUUGAAAAUGAACUCCUGAAAUACACCUAGGCAGUCUGCGGCGUGUAUUUGUUGUAAACCUAUUAAAAAGAGGAACGUUUUAUUUAGUGUCUGAGCAUUCAACACCCACAAACAUAAACACUUCAUCAGGUAAAAAAAAGAGUAUCUGUGACAUCUGUUCUUUCGCUCAUCAACCAAACAUAAACACAUAUGAGUUAGAAUUUGAGUGACUGCUCCACAGCAUACAGGGAACAGGAUGUGUGGGUUAUGCCGCUGCUAUUUUCAACACCUCCAAAGUUUUUCAAAAGUUCCUCGCUGGCAGCAUGUCAAAAAAGAGACUCGGUGUACCUUCUUCUCUUUUUUCACAUCGGUGCCUGGAGAAUGACAGCAUGAAAUACCAAAAGACAGAACAGGCGGCCCUCGUUCUGAGUGGCUGCUGGAAAUGGCACCGAGAGACAGAAAAAAAAAAGAGGGGUAUCAAACUUUUAAAUGCUAUCUGGAGAAAAGACAAGGGAAGGAAGCAGCUCCUCUGUGUUAGCUUGAUAGGGCCUGGGAAAAAAACAUGGCAUCUAAGACAUCUAGUUUUCUGAGACUGGUGUCAGGGGAGGUGAGCCUCUCAAGCUCCAGACGCCAAUUAUGGGGAGCCUCGCCUAAGCAGGUAACGAAUGGAGCCCUGCUCCUCGAUGCUAAUGAAAGUCCUAAUUAUUUCCCACAAAGCAUCUGGGAUUGACAGAGCGGGUUUCCGAGGGGAUUGACUCCUUGUAACUUCAUGCCAAAUGCCGACAGGAGCUUGAGGAGAAAUCGUUGGACUGAUAGGUACCUGGAGGGUGAGGAAGGACUGGGCGCUUAUGGACGGAUACAUACAUAGACAUGGAGACAGAAAAAGAAAGAGAAGAAGCGAAGUUAGGAAAAGAGACAAGGUGUGGGCUGGAGGACGGCAGGACGGGCCUUCAGUCACCAGAAAAAGAAAUGCAAUAGGAGGUAAUCUGUAGUCACAAAGAGCGCCCUGCUAAGUUUCACUGAGGGUCCCAGGGGAGCUGUCAUGCUUUAACCGCCGCUGUUGCCUUCUAAAAGCUUGAUGUAAUGCCGAGGAGGAAUUAGACCACUGUGUGUGUGUGUGUGUGUGUGUGUGUGUGUGUAAGAGAGUUGAGAGUGUAAGUUAGACCGUGUAUGACCUCCCUGCUUGACAAGCCUGAACAGUCACAGCAAAUAAUCAAGCCCAUUAACAAAGACUUCUGUUAUUGGCUCUGGAGCUGAGAAGUGAGUACGGGUCAAAUGACAAUCGUUUCAUGAGCCUUGGAUGGAAGAACCACACACACACACAUACACAUACACAUACACACACACUUAGACACACACACACACACACACACACACAGCCAAACUAUACAAGCAAGAAAAUAGAAACUGCAUUGAGAUCAUUAGCAACCACACAUUGAACUAGAGCCAUAUUUCAAGCAGCUUAUUACUCAGAGCUACAACACUGCUAACCAGUGGUAGGCGGUAACAAAGUAUGAUAUACUAAGCCCCAAUUUUCACCACAUCCGGAAUGGCUCCGAUUCAGAACAGUGGCAAUUUUCGCAAUUUGCCAAUUCCUACCGGAUCUGUUUGUGAGGCCAAUUUCGUAGCGGAUUACGGACAGCAGGAAUCGCAAUAACUCACAAGAACCCGCGGAUUCACGUGCAAUCGCGCAAUAACAAGUUGUCUUUAGCCACAUAGGCUAACCAUAUUAGCCAUAACCUAAUUGUGUCCUUCCAGAAGAAGAAAUCUACUUCUAGACUAAAAUCAGCAUCUCCUCAUCCAUGGUAUCAUCGGGAUUGAAUGCUGUCUACAAACCUUUUACUUGUUCGUCUCCGCCCGUUUGCAUGGUGUGAAAUAGGAUCCGUCUGAAACAGGGAGUAUUUUAUUUUGAAAAGAAGCCGGAUGUUUUAUAUUGUGUCUCUGUCUUACUUCCUUUCCAGCAUGGGUUAAUCUGUGUGGAAUUUAUCUAGCAUGCUCCGGCAUCCAGAAUCAGCCGUGGAGUCCGGCGAAAGAAGCCAGUGGAAAUUGACACAUCAAGUUAAAUGGCUACAAUCAGCUGCGAUCGGCAGAUAUGGCCUUGUCGUAUCCGUUCUGGAUGCAGCGGAAAUUGGAGGUUAGGGUGACCAUACGUCCUCUUUUACCCGGACAUGUCUGGACAUGACUUACUGAGUUAGAAUUGCGUAAAAGACACUCAAUCCGACCUGAAAAACUCUCAAAAUUAACUACGCACGACUUCAUGAUUCCGCCUCCGCGUAGUUGUGUCCUCUUUUGGGGGAUUUAGAAUAUGGUCACCCUAGAUAUACUAUACUUGAUUACAUUGCUUUGGUAUCUUAUUUGGGUGGGUUUGUUUCUGAAUGUGAUUGUAGAUCCACGACAAGUUUAUGUCCCACAGGGUUAUGAAAGAGUAACAGAAUUUCCAAACACAGAAACAGCUAUCCUGCAAAACAACCAGGCUUUAUCUGGUGUUUGUGAAACUGGCUUCAUUAAAAACUCGCAUAAAUACAUACAAUUAAGAAAAACUUAGAUGUGAUCUCUUUACAGCAAUUACUUUGACUUGGUUGAAAUAAAAAAGUUUACAUCAGACGUGUAGGUACAGGAAGAGGAGAGAAAAAGCAAGACGAGCAUAUUUGCAUGCCUAUGUGCACUUAUAAUAUAUACUGUGCAAACACACACACACACAUAUGUAUGUGAGUAUUUUACAGCAAAUGCAUGAAAGUUUGAAUCUGUUAUCCAUAAUAUGAAAUUAUCCCGUCAGAUCAUUUGAUGGUGAGUUACAAAGGGGGACAAGCCAGCUCGGAUAAGAAUCUGUACAACAAAGACAAAGGCAUCUUCAUGACAAUGAAUGCACACACAUACACACACUGCACACCCACACAGUGCCAUUGUUUUCUCAGUGCACAUCCCUGCAGCAUAUUUACUGCAUCAGCUGUCAGUGAUUGCUCACUUUCCCAUGUGUAAAUUCUACCUCCGUGAUUCCCAGAUUUCUCCAGACUUUUCCCUCCGGAGCCCUUAACGGCUGACCUGGCCAGUGCUUAGCACUUGUUAUGUGUGCAUUGAGCACAUUGGUGAUUAAUUAAAGCAAUCUAUCUUGAGCUCCAGAGGGGAAUCAAGAUACUGUUGGAAAGAUUAGUGGCUGAGGCGGUCAUAAGGGGGUCUACAGCGGUGCAGUCCCUGAGGGUAAGAAACCGCUCUGUCCGCGGAGAAUACCGUACCGACACGAUUCAUUAAUCUUCCUGUUUUCUUUUACAUACCUGUGAAAUGUUUGUAUAUUCAUGAAAGAAUACCAAAAAGCAGGAAACAAGGGUAACAGAAAUAUCUCUUUUUGUGCGUACCAGAUUCCUUCACACGUCAAACUUUGUCUAUUUUUGGAAAAGGUUGGCGUGAUUGAGAAACGUGCAAUUUCAGCCCAUCCAUAAUAGAUUGGAACAAACUAGCAUGGGAGAAGACUUCAAUAUCACAGGAAUUUUGAUUCCGUGCAGGUUGCGACCAAAAAGUGAAGAUGCUGUAGUGUGUAAAAAUCCCUUCUCUCAGUGCCUCCUUCUGGCAACGCAGCAAUCCCAUUCCAGUUAAUUCUCUUCUUGUGUCCUUUCAUCCAUAAUUAAAAUAACAAGCAACUAAUUACUUUUGAAUAAUGUCAGGCCAGUCAGGCAGGUUGCACAAUCCCUCUCCAUAAUUAAAGUGCACCCAACAGUUUGGCAGACAUUCCCCUCAUAGCCACAUCACUGUGCGUUGUUUCAGUGAAGCAGUGUAAGGGCCAACCCUCUGGAAAAAAAAUAACUUUUAAAUACUCCAGGGUCUGUCUGACUGACUGUCAGCUAGCUUUCAGACACUCUGGGCUUGAGUUACUUGAGGUUUGGAAAUGCAACAAGGUCUUUUCUGAAGUGCCCUCAGGGCAAAGAACACUGUAACAGCAGGUCGGGGAUUCAACAGUCUGGAUAUACCCCUUUACUGUGUGUCAGCCAAAUAAAUAAAGGAAGAAAAGUGCAACAGAGACAAAGAGAUUGUUGCACACUGUAUCCACUGUUCUGAUGCAAUACAGCCUGGAUGGCCUUGAGAGAUGGUGUCUUAGAAAAAGGAUCAUAGCUAAAAAAAAAAAAAACACACAUAUGGACUUUUCUUCAUGGCUAUCUGUGAGAAACUUUUCUCUCUAUACUCUGAAUUUACUUCCAGUUCACUUUGCCAAGAAUUUCUCCUUUAUUAGUUUUAUUUUUAUCACUGAAUCCCAAUGAAAUUUCAAGUUAAGCUGAAAGC